GAUGAAGAACGUAGCGAAAUGCGAUAAGUAAUGUGAAUCGCAGAAUUCAGUGAAUCAUCGAAUCUUUGAACGCACAUUGCGCCCGCCAGUAUUCUGGCGGGCAUGCCUGUUCGAGCGUCAUUACAACCCUCAGGCCCCCGGGCCUGGCGUUGGGGAUCGGCGGAGCCCCCCGUGGGCACACGCCGUCCCCCAAAUGCAGUGGCGGUCCCGCCGCAGCUUCCAUCGCGUAGUAGCUAACACCUCGCGACUGGAGAGCGGCGCGGCCACGCCGUAAAACACCCAACUCUUCUGAAGUUGACCUCGAAUCAGGUAGGAAUACCCGCUGAACUUAAGCAUAUCAAUAAGCGGAGGA
This 352-nucleotide unclassified non-coding RNA is filed under the name soil metagenome. RNAcentral's name for it is "partial contains 5.8S ribosomal RNA, internal transcribed spacer 2, and large subunit ribosomal RNA". The stretch from base 1 to 120 matches the Rfam family "5.8S ribosomal RNA", at positions 35 to 154 of the family's 154-position model. The record is from RNAcentral.